AUCGCUUCUCGGCCUUUUGGCUAAGAUCAAAGUGUAGUAUCUGUUCUUAUCAGCUUAAUCGGUGGACUAGUUGCUUUUGUCGCUGACAGCUCCAUAGUACCGGUUAAGCAGUCUGAACUUUUAUUCUUUUCACAGCAUUAAUUAUUGGUUUUUCUUUUUAGGAACACCGGUACUGAUGCUGUGCUAGUUUCUUCUCCUGGAGGGCGGAGCUGAAGGCGG
Molecule: small nuclear RNA, 219 nt
Filed under: Stegodyphus mimosarum
Lineage: Eukaryota; Metazoa; Arthropoda; Arachnida; Araneae; Eresidae
Description: U2 spliceosomal RNA
Rfam family: U2 spliceosomal RNA (bases 1-146)
About the family: U2 is a small nuclear RNA (snRNA) component of the spliceosome (involved in pre-mRNA splicing).
Source: RNAcentral